RNAcentral lists this long non-coding RNA (1899 nucleotides) under Apis mellifera (honey bee). Its description in RNAcentral is "uncharacterized LOC102653921, transcript variant X1". Lineage: Eukaryota; Metazoa; Arthropoda; Insecta; Hymenoptera; Apidae. The record is from RNAcentral.
CGUCGAGGGAUAUAUUAAUAUUUCUUAUUUCAUUAAUUACGUCCAAGUCUUGCGUGAAUAGUUCUUUUUUUUCACUAAAAUGUGCAGUAUCAGGGUAGCAAUUCAGUUAAAAAGAAUGAUAGAAAACAGACCUUGAGAUGGGCGUAAAUUUCACAUUCUGUAGUUCAUUGAACUGCCCUUCAAAUGGACAAGGGGAUAAAACGAGAUUGAUUUAUAUCAAGUGUCGGUAUUAAGAUACAGCUAUAUCAAGAUUUCCAUCUGAUAUUCUGUAAGAGAAGGCCAACGUUCUCUUUUGAUGAUCUCGUUCGAUCCAUCAAUUGAUAUCUGUAAAUUGUAUUCGACUCUUAUGAUGCAUAAAAUUUGGUUCAAGAUCUUAUACUGAGGCUACCGUUGGAUGUGUUUUUUCCCUUUGAAUGUGAAAACCGGUUGCGAGAAUCAAGAAAGAUGGCGUGAUAAGAAUAUAUUUUCAAACAAAUAAUAUUCUGAGCAUGGAAGUUAAUGGAUGAAAUUCAAACGUCUUUUGAUAAUGAUUUUUAUUAACGAUUCAUGGAAAUUUUAGCAAUGAUUAGAUAUUAUUAUAAUAUUGGAAAAAAAAAGGAAAUACUAUCUUAUUUAAAGCAACUAAUACAUCGAUUGAAGAAUCAAUAAUUGACACCAGGGCCAGUGUCCCGCUACAAGGUCGUAUAUUCCCUCAUGGUCGCCACAGUGUCUACAUAUACUAUGAUGGAUGCAUAUAUUAGAGUUCCAGUAGAAGUAUCAAAAAAGAAACGUUCAAACGAUUUGGAAAGUUUACUGAAAGUAUAAUGAUGAUUUUGAAAUGAUCUUCAAAUGAUCUCCAAGCGAUUUUUAUAGCUUCAAAUGAUCUUGAAGAGUAACUUAAGAUAGGUCAGGUAAGAUCGUCUUACGUUAAUAAGUUAAGUUAAAUAAACCUCGGAUGAGCAAUUUUAUUAUAAAUUUUUGAAUGAAAGGAGCAAUAAAAACUCGCAAUUUAUAAAACGUACUAAUAUAAUAUUUAUUGUUUGCAAUAAACAGCGUAAUAUAAUAUCACCUCUGGCACAAUCUCACGAUGGCAAGACAACGCGAAAACGGUAUUAUAUUUCGAUAUUCUCGCAUCAUUUUUAUCUGAUUCCGCAACUUGUCCGGCUUCAAGAAGAUUCUUCUCUAACAAAACAGUACAGUACGCGCGCAAAUCAGCCCGAAAUCGGCCGGUUUCAACAUCCCUCCUCUUACACGGCUACAUUUCUAACAAAAUAAAGGCGAAGCCUGUUGAUUCGUUUUUCGUUUCGCAUCGCCGUUUACGGUCGCUUUAAGUACGAUAGAUCGAGACGGCUGGGAAACGAUCACGAGAAGACCACAACACUCGCUUGCUAUGCUAUGCUAUGCGAUAUAUUUCUAAUAACGCGUUAACGCGAAAAGGGAAAGGAGAGGAGAGAGAAAAAAAAAAAGAAAAAAAAAAGAAACAGAAAAAAAUGAUUGAUUUCAACGAUCAAUCUUCUCUAAUCUACUCUAAUGUUUAUUCACCGGUCUUCUCUAAUCGCGAUUGAGGUCUCCUCGUGACUGUGACACGGCUGCCUUUCAAAAAUAUAUCAUUAAUUAAUAAUAUUAAUAAACGUAAAGGAUUAUAAGAGGAUGAUACGAUAGCAGAUAAAAAUCGUUCAUCGGCAAAAAUCGUUUCUCCACAAUGCACACACGAUGAAUCUCUGAACACGAGAUCUACAUCUGUAUAUAACGAAGAAAAUAUAUAUAGUUAAUAGGCGAUCGAAAUGGGUUCUCAGGGGUGUCGUAGUUCAUUAUGAGAUGUUGAGAAGUUGUUUGAUGAAGUUUGGAAGUUGGGCUAAGGAGAAAAAUAUCGAUUACGAGUAAAAAAAAAAAAAAAAAAAAAAAAAAAAAAAGAGAAAA